RNAcentral lists this non-coding RNA (110 nucleotides) under Salisediminibacterium selenitireducens. RNAcentral describes it as "Bacillus selenitireducens SAM-I sequence". It matches the Rfam family "SAM riboswitch aptamer (S box leader)". From Rfam's summary of the family: The SAM riboswitch is found upstream of a number of genes which code for proteins involved in methionine or cysteine biosynthesis in Gram-positive bacteria. The SAM riboswitch acts at the level of transcription termination control. The predicted structure consists of a complex stem-loop region followed by a single stem loop terminator region. RNAcentral also lists the same sequence under 1 other name. Lineage: Bacteria; Bacillati; Bacillota; Bacilli; Caryophanales; Bacillaceae. The record is from RNAcentral.
UUCUUAUCCAGAGCGGCGGAGGGACUGGCCCUAUGAAGCCCGGCAACCAUCACGAAAGUGGAAGGUGCCAAUUCCAACAGAGCGUAUUCGUACGCUUUGACAGAUAAGAG